GAUGAGAGUGUGAGGUGAGACACAGAGAGGAGCAUGCUUUCCAGGACCAGGAUGUGUGUCUGGGAAAAACUGCAGAGUCUAAGGGAAAACUGUGUUUUUUUAAAAAGUCUUGUCCUAACUAGUCAUCAGCAGUCUUCAGACACCAUGUGGAGAGACAGGGAGUGACUUAUUGCUGUGCAGAAGGAGUGACCAUUUAUACUCAUCAAAGAGGCUCCGGAUUGGUGAUGUCACGUGAACGGCUGCCUCUCAUUGGUUCAUCUGGGAGUAAAACAACAGCCAAGCCACCUCGCUCCUCCCCAGCUCUCCAUCAGGCAAAUCACCGAAAACGCAGCCAGCCUCAAACAUCAUCAUCCUCCUCCUCCUCCUCCUCUCACCCCCAUCCGGGGCCUUCUUCCCU
Molecule: long non-coding RNA, 397 nt
Organism: Chelmon rostratus (copperband butterflyfish)
Lineage: Eukaryota; Metazoa; Chordata; Actinopteri; Chaetodontiformes; Chaetodontidae
Exons: 3
Source: RefSeq, a predicted model, not a curated record